UUCUACACUCCAUUAUUCGAGAGAACUGAUUAGCUGCAAGGGUGUCAAAAAGGGUAAACCAACCCAAAUGGUUUGUGGCUUCUAUGGAUUAUGGUUGAAAACACAGGACCAAAAAGUGGAGUUUAUUACGGUUCAAAAAUGUUUUAUAUUUUAAAAUUUAGAACUAGAUUUUGACCCGCGCAGACGCGCAGGUGUAUAUUUUGAAAAAUAUGUUGAUAUUUGUUUUUCAUGUAAUUAUUAGGAUUUGGAAAAAUGAAUCCGAGGAACCUAACCGAUACCGAUCCAAAAAUAUAGUAUCAAACCCGAAUAUAAAUUGAUUAAAUAUUCUAAUUAUUCAAAAUUUUGUUAUUUAGAGAACCGAAUCUGAUCCGAACCGAAGUAUUUGGGUAUCCGAAUUUAUCUAAAAAUAGAUUUAUAUACUUAUAUAUAUUAAUUAUUUUUAGAUUUAAUGUAUAUAAAACAUCAAAAAUGAUACUUUUAAAUUGGUUUAAAUACUUGAAAAUAUAUAUAGAUAGUCAAAAGUAAAUAUCUGAAAUAGUUAAAGUAUACUCAAAUCACCAAAAAUACUUAAAAUAAUUAUUGAUUCCGUAUCCAAAAUUUUAAAUCAAGCCAAUUGAUAUGUUAAGCUUAAGUAUUAUGACAUAUGUUAUUCAAAUUUAUACGUAAUAUAUUAUUUUAUUUAUACAUUUUGAGAAAUUUAAAAUAUAUAAUAAUUUAAGACUUUAAAAUAAUUUAAAUUAGUUAUCCAAACCCAAACCAAACCCGCAAAGAUCCAAAUCGAACUCAAACCAAAAUUUAGAAACAUUCUAAUAAGGCUGAAAUCUUUGACCCUGAAAACCCGAAAUACAAACCGAUCAGAACCAAACCCGUAUGGGUACCCAAAAGCCCAGCUCUAGUCAUUAUUAUAUAUCGUAUUUUAUUUUCAUAUAAUUAAUCAUAUUUUAUAUGUACCAUCAUAUAAGUAAUCAUAUAAUUAAUAGUAUUUUAUACAUACCAUCAUAUAAAUAAUUACAUAUAUUAUAUUUUUAAAACUUAAUAUGAAAUAUAAAAACCAUAAUUUGAGUUGGUAUUUCAAAUUGGGCUUUGUAUUAUAUUUUUCUUAUAUAUAUUGACAAUAUUUUUUUAUAAUGGUUAUUGAAAAAUAGUUUAGUAAAAAUCCAUUUUUGAAUAUAUGUAAAUUUUUGAAUCAAUUUUUGAUAUAAAUCAAAUUUGAAUUAUUAUUUUGAUUUGAAAUAUGUAUAUAAAGUUUAAAUUUUGUUUUAUGGUUAGUUUAGAAAAAAAAUUUUUAGGCAAUUAGAUUGACCCAUUUUGGUAUAUUUUAAAAGUGGCCUAGAUAACUUUCAAUUUUUUUAAAAAAUAUAAGCCCAUUACUUUUUUUCUUAAUACUAAUAUCCUUGUUUUCAAACAAAAAUAUUUUUUUUUAAAAGACUGCAAUCCAUGUCUCCAAACACUCUAAAUUUUUUAAUAGUCUUAUUCAAGUCUCCAAACACUCCAAUUUUGUACUUGAGUUUUAAUAAGAUAGAUAUUAACGUUCGUUUAAUAUAAAUAACAUUUUUUGGUUAGAAUAAUGAAAAAGCGUUGUUUUAAUGUCAUUUCCAACUUUUUUUACUCAACAGUCAACCGUUAAAAAAUCAUUUGAAAACUUUUGAUGACUUUUUAAGGUUGUUGAGCGAUAUGUCUAAUGUCUCCAUCAACUAGAUUAUGGCAUUAUGCAAUGCA
RNAcentral lists this long non-coding RNA (1719 nucleotides) under Brassica rapa (field mustard). RNAcentral describes it as "long non-coding RNA (BRAP_LNC006552)". Lineage: Eukaryota; Viridiplantae; Streptophyta; Magnoliopsida; Brassicales; Brassicaceae. The record is from RNAcentral.